UGCCAGCAGCCGCGGUAAUACGGAGGGUGCAAGCGUUGUUCGGAAUUACUGGGCGUAAAGAGCGUGUAGGCGGCUAGAUAAGUCUGGUGUGAAAGCCCUUGGCUCAACCAAGGAAGUGCGCCGGAAACUGUUUAGCUUGAGUACGGGAGAGGGAAGUGGAAUUCCCGGUGUAGAGGUGAAAUUCGUAGAUAUCGGGAGGAACACCAGUGGCGAAGGCGGCUUCCUGGACCGAUACUGACGCUGAGACGCGAAAGCGUGGGGAGCAAACAGGAUUAGAUA
RNAcentral lists this ribosomal RNA (279 nucleotides) under uncultured bacterium. RNAcentral's name for it is "partial 16S ribosomal RNA". It matches the Rfam family "Bacterial small subunit ribosomal RNA", at positions 506 to 784 of the family's 1533-position model. The record is from RNAcentral.